Molecule: long non-coding RNA, 261 nt
Filed under: Homo sapiens (human)
Lineage: Eukaryota; Metazoa; Chordata; Mammalia; Primates; Hominidae
Description: LINC-SLC35A5.1
Source: RNAcentral
ACAUGCCCCUGAAAUGAGGAUAGUAUAACCUGGAGAGGAGCAAUUGUCAUGUGAAAAAGGAAGUAGACAUUUUUCUGCUCUGGAGAAUCAAACUACAGUAAAAUUUAUAUGAUUAAGCCCCCUAAUUUGGUGAGAAAUCUGGUUAAGUGAAGUUCCUUGAAAGCAGCACACAACUUUUCUCUAAAGCUGUGAAAUUGGCAAAGGAUAUAGUACAAGAAGAAAAAGAGAAUACAGAUGACAUCGGGGGUCCAAGAGACAUUC